This 1650-nucleotide long non-coding RNA is filed under the name Sus scrofa (pig). RNAcentral describes it as "lncRNA (ENSSSCG00025058455.1)". The record is from RNAcentral. Lineage: Eukaryota; Metazoa; Chordata; Mammalia; Artiodactyla; Suidae.
AUUACUUUUAAAAGAUGUUCUUCAAAAUUUCAAUUAUAUUUAAUGAAGUUUUUAGAAGUCUUCCUCAAUCCAAAUUAUUUAAGAUUUUAUAUUCUAAUUGCAUAUUAACAAAUUAAAAGAACAGAAAUAGCAAUAGCUUCUAAAUUAAAACAAUAAGUAGCAUACAUAUUUUGAAAGUACACUGUUUCUUUAGAAUACUUUACUCCUUUACUUAUUAACUUGAUUUUAUAGGAUACUAAUAGGAACCUAUCCUAUGAUACAAGAAAAUAAAUAGGAAGAGGAGGACUCCACUCACUCACAGGAAAAAUCAAUGUUUCACAACAAACUUGCUGAUGCCACAAAUUUGGAAUUAGUAAUAAUUCAAAGACCAUUGAAUGCAUUUAAGAAGUUUUCUGAUGUGAUGAAUGACUAAUAGGAAUAAGAGUACUGGAAAAUACUUAAACAUCUUUAGAGAACACACUUUUAUGUUAAAAACAUUGUUUAAUAUAAACAACUGGUUUGUUAACUACACAGCACUUAUUAAUUCAAGCUGCAUCUAUCAAGCAAUAUUUUUUGAUUUGAUACGCUGCGUUGUCAAAAUUAAUUAACUGCAUCUCACUGAAAAACUUCGAUGGUAUUCACGUCCAACUAAUUCAUGUUAAUUUUCUUUUUUUUUUUUUGGCUUUUUUUGUUGUUGUUGUUGUUGCUAUUUCUUGGGCCGCUCCCGCGGCAUAUGGAGGUUCCCAGGCUAGGGUGUGGCCCUAAAAAGAAAAAAAAGAAAGAAAGAAAAAUUUUCAAGAGCUAUCAAAAGAAGGAAAAAAACAAAAGGAAAGAGAAUGAGGGAGGCAGGAAGAAGGACAGGAAAGGGAGCCUGAAAACGGGUAUCAAAAACAAACUACAAAUUAGAAGGAGGCAGGAAGAAGGACAGGAAAGGGAGCCUGAAAACAGGUAUCAAAAACAAACUACAAAUUAGAACAGUUUUUUAAAAAUCAUGUCAAGAAUGUACAUAUAUAUGCAUGACUGGGUCACUUUGCUGUACAGUGGAAAUUGACAGAACACUGUAAAUCAACUAUAAUAGAAAAAAUAAAUAUCCUUUAAAAAAUCUCAAAUUAUUUUCAUCAAAGUACCAAAAAUUAACAACUCUCUCUUCAUCAAGAGUAAAACCACCAUGGAUGUUUCAAAUGGGAAGAAAAACAUUACAAAGCUGCUCAAAAGCCUAUUAUUAUUAUUCUUGAAUUGUCUCAUCUAAACUCCUCUUGCCUAGAUUGUGGCCAGAAUUCUGAGAACCAAGUCAGAGAAGGGUGGGUGGGGUGGAAGGAACGAUUUCUCAACAUUCCAUAUACAUAUAUCUACUUAAUCUAUUUUCAAUUUCCUCAACUCCUAAUCUUCCUCAGCAAGAGAUCCUUGUUUUAGUCUUUCCCACCAUAUGCCAGUGUCAUGAAAUAAGUAAAAAUCUUCACUAGUUUUCAAUUAAUCCUAUUCCAUCCCCACACAGACCAGUAACACUCAGUUCCAGAGGUAUCUAGAGCCGUAUCCUAGCCUUCUCAAGAUCCUGAAAAUUUAGAUUGUAUUAAUUUCUUGGCUUUCUCCCUUGUUGACUCAGGAGUUGACAUUCUCUUAUCAGUUAUCACUGUGUGGUGUUCAAUCCAGAGUUACCUGGGGGUCUCAGAG